Long non-coding RNA from Syngnathus acus (greater pipefish), 268 nucleotides. RefSeq lists it as uncharacterized. The transcript is spliced from 3 exons. NCBI's taxonomy places the organism in Eukaryota, Metazoa, Chordata, Actinopteri, Syngnathiformes, Syngnathidae. The record is from RefSeq and is a predicted model, not a curated record.
CUUGACUUCCUUGUGUCUGUUGCCUGCCUCCCCCUAGGCUGCACCUGUGUCUACUCUUUGUCCGCUUGUAUUUCCCUGCUCCCCGUUUCCUCCAUUCAUGUUUUACCAAUCUACAAUGCAGGGUCAACUUCUAGGCCUUGACAUAUGUUGAUUGUCAUUUGUGCAUCUGUCGCUCGUGCUCCUGUUCCCAGCCUGUGCUUCCUGACUUGCAUGCUUGCCAGCACUUGUGUGGCUUUGCUUUUAUCCACCAUGCUCGAUUCUGACAGGU